GUAGUACUAGGAUGGGUGACCUCCUGGGAAGUCCUCGUGUUGCACCUUU
This 49-nucleotide ribosomal RNA is filed under the name Chenopodium ficifolium. The record is from RNAcentral. Lineage: Eukaryota; Viridiplantae; Streptophyta; Magnoliopsida; Caryophyllales; Amaranthaceae.